Vidua chalybeata is the source of this 1308-nucleotide long non-coding RNA. RefSeq lists it as uncharacterized. The transcript has 3 exons. The record is from RefSeq and is a predicted model, not a curated record. Lineage: Eukaryota; Metazoa; Chordata; Aves; Passeriformes; Viduidae.
GGUGCCUGGAGCACUUCCCACAUCUCUUCCCUCCUCCCAGCUCUGCAGCCAUCACACCCCGGGUGCCUGAUGACAAGUGGCAGUGCUGCCACACCUUCCAGAUGUGUGCCUGCUGCCCAAGGGCACGGCACAGAUGGCGAGUGCCAGCGUUCCCUGGAAAGCUGGGGCCAGGCACGCAGGCUGGUCUGCCUGUGCUGGGCUCCUCCAGCCCGUGCUGGGGGGAAAUGAACCAGCACAAACAGCUCGAGCUUUCAUCUCCAGGGAGUUGUUACUGAAGGCAGCGGUCCAUGGGACACUCCUCCUGCAGCCCAGGCAGGGGCAGGGCACCACAGCAGCGAAGAUUAUCAUUGGGGCACAGAGAGGAGGGCGAGGGAUGCUGGGCCUGUCCCCACCCCCUGCUCCAGCUUUCCUCUGCACAGAGCUACCAGCAUCCAAACCAGGUCAUGCUGCCCAGGAACCAGGUUUAUGCAGUCACGAGCUGCACUGCAACAGGCAGAACAGCAAAUCCUCCACCUCUGGAGAGGACACUUGGGAUGGGGAAGAGGAAGACAAGACUUCCUGCUGCACUGAGGACUGCAUCCAAGCCCUGCUGUUACCUUGGAAGCAGCUGAACAUAACCUGUAUUUCCAUGUGUCCUGAGUGGGUACAGAGCUCCCAUGGCCCAGGAGCAGCUACAGCUCUUGUGAAAUGAGGAAGGAAGAAGCAGCAAUUCCUCUCUGCAAGGCUAUAAAGCCAAUAAGGACCCCCUGGGAUGAAAGGUACUCCAUAAAUCUGAGCUGUUAUUAUAAAACCAAUCUCCUCCACAUCUCUUAAUAAUGCAGAUUAACUGUGCAGUACCACCACUAUAAUUAAUAUCAUAAAAGUCAGAGAUGGGAAAGGCCAGCAGGCCAGCGAGGCCAUGCCAUGGACUGCUCCCCACAGCACAGGAAAAGGGGAAACUCCUGGGUGCCACAGGAGCUGGGGACAGCGAAGGUAGGUUUGGCAGUGCUGGGCACCAUGAAGGGAGUGGUGACAAGGAGGGGGUGGCACAUGGAUCACCACAUCUCUGCCAAAGCCAGGAGGGGAGCAGAGCCCAGCUCUUGGUUCUGCAAGUACCCAGUGCCAACCUCUCAUCCCUCCUCUCCUGUUCACACAACCAGGGAAUUAUCUAGGUUGGAGAAGACAACUGAGUCAAACCAUUAACGCAGCACUGCCAAGGCCACCACAAACCAUGUCCCCAGGUGUGACUUCCAGAAACCUUUUGAAUCCCUCCAAGGAUGGUAUAACUUCACUGCUGACCUGAGCAGUCUGUGCCAGGGCUUGACACCA